This 537-nucleotide ribosomal RNA is filed under the name uncultured bacterium. RNAcentral's name for it is "bacterial SSU rRNA". It matches the Rfam family "Bacterial small subunit ribosomal RNA", at positions 361 to 909 of the family's 1533-position model. The record is from RNAcentral.
AUCUUCGGCAAUGGACGAAAGUCUGACCGAGCAACGCCGCGUGUGCGAUGAAGGCCUUCGGGUUGUAAAGCACUGUCGAGGGGAAACAAGCCGUAAGGUUGAGUGACCCCUGGAGGAAGCACGGGCUAAGUUCGUGCCAGCAGCCGCGGUAAGACGAACCGUGCAAACGUUAUUCGGAAUCACUGGGCUUAAAGGGCGCGUAGGCGGGUGAUCAAGUCAAUGGUGAAAUCCUCCAGCUUAACUGGAGAAGUGCCUUUGAUACUGAUUGUCUAGAGGGAGGUAGGGGCAUGUGGAACUUCAGGUGGAGCGGUGAAAUGCGUAGAUAUCUGAAGGAACGCCAGUGGCGAAAGCGAUGUGCUGGACCUCUUCUGGCGCUGAGGCGCGAAAGCUAGGGGAUCAAACGGGAUUAGAUACCCCGGUAGUCCUAGCCCUAAACUAUGGGUACUAGAUUGUGGACUUUCAUGGGUUCACAGUCGAAGCAAAAGUGUUAAGUACCCCGCCUGGGGAGUAUGGUCGCAAGGCUGAAACUCAAAGGAA